This 520-nucleotide ribosomal RNA is filed under the name uncultured bacterium. RNAcentral's name for it is "bacterial SSU rRNA". It matches the Rfam family "Bacterial small subunit ribosomal RNA", at positions 189 to 703 of the family's 1533-position model. The record is from RNAcentral.
AAAGGGGGGGAUCGCAAGACCUCUCGCUAUUGGAGCGGCCGAUAUCAGAUUAGCUAGUUGGUGGGGUAAAAGGCCUACCAAGGCAACGAUCUGUAGUUGGUCUGAGAGGACGACCAGCCACACUGGGACUGAGACACGGCCCAGACUCCUACGGGAGGCAGCAGUGGGGAAUUUUGGACAAUGGGCGCAAGCCUGAUCCAGCAAUGCCGCGUGCAGGAAGAAGGCCUUCGGGUUGUAAACUGCUUUUGUCAGGGAAGAAAUCCUCUAGGUUAAUACCCUUGGGGGGAUGACGGUACCUGAAGAAUAAGCACCGGCUAACUACGUGCCAGCAGCCGCGGUAAUACGUAGGGUGCAAGCGUUAAUCGGAAUUACUGGGCGUAAAGCGUGCGCAGGCGGCUUGCAAGACAGAUGUGAAAUCCCCGGGCUCAACCUGGGAACUGCAUUUGUGACUGCAAGGCUAGAGUACGGUAGAGGGGGAUGGAAUUCCGCGUGUAGCAGUGAAAUGCGUAGAUAUGCGGAG